UGUUGAUCUGCACAUUUCCUCUCUACAGCUUCUCACCAGUAUUUUUCAAGAGUCUCCUAGUUAUAACCACAGCCCCGCAGAGGCACAGCACUUGCUGGUUCCCACAAGAACUGAACCGAGAUUACCACAAGAAGAGAGCCCAAGGGAGAGGCCUUUGAGAAGCCUGGCCAGUUGUACCCUGACCUCUAGUCUAGAUUAGGAAAAAAAAAAAAAAAAAAAACCUGCUUCAGGCUAAACACAUGGCACUCAUGUAUCUUCAGAGAGUCAGUCUCUCCCUCCAUGGAUUGAUUGUCUUAACCAAAUGCUUUCAUGAGAACUGUCAUUUGCCCUGACAUGACAGGAACAGUCAGGUGAUCACUCUGAAAUUGCUUAGGAUGUCAAGCCAAGAUCCUCUAUGCAGGUCAUAUUUCCCUGUGUAUUUUGCCCUGAAGAAACUGUUCUGCUGCCCAGGCACGUACUGUUUUCAACUCUACCUUCUCCCAACAUUAAAAUGUUCUUUCCUCUUUUGGCAGAGUGGAUUGAUGAAUUUCCAAAGAUAGUGCAAGAACGGCAGCUGAUAAGAGUGAACUGGAAGUAGCCCAGCUACACUGGAUCUGUCCGUCCUAAAGAUCCUGAUCCCUGGAAGGCAUCAGUGGAAUAUCAUGGUGCCCAGCUAAUGAGGAGACCACAAAGGUGAAGACCCCAACCACCAAGGGACACCAUCACUAAGCUAUGAUGUUCAGUGGGUAGGUGAAUAAAAUCCUUUUUAACUUCAGACAUAGUUUUUCAAUUCACUAUGGGUAUUGCAUGGCAUAACCCAAUCAUAAUUUGAGGAGAAUUCAUCCUAUGGCUUUCAUUCACCUGGACUUCUCUAAUUCAGAAUUGACAAGGCCAUAAAACAGAAUUUCUGCCAAGGUGAGUAAUGGACCCUCAAACUAUGAGUCCAAACCAAACUCUUCCUCCUAAGCUGUCUUUGUUGGGAUUUUUAUCACAACUGUAAGAAAACUAAUGAACAUCUACUCUGUGAUAACUGGAGUACAGGCCACUGGCAUCAAGUACAUACAAUAGAUCAAUCCUAGACUGAAAAAUCUUAAAG
RNAcentral lists this long non-coding RNA (1075 nucleotides) under Cricetulus griseus (Chinese hamster). RNAcentral's name for it is "lncRNA (ENSCGRG00015037338.1)". The record is from RNAcentral. Lineage: Eukaryota; Metazoa; Chordata; Mammalia; Rodentia; Cricetidae.